RNAcentral lists this ribosomal RNA (468 nucleotides) under uncultured bacterium. Its description in RNAcentral is "partial 16S ribosomal RNA". It matches the Rfam family "Bacterial small subunit ribosomal RNA", at positions 28 to 507 of the family's 1533-position model. The record is from RNAcentral.
GACGAACGCUGGCGGCGUGCUUAACACAUGCAAGUCGAACGGAAAGGCCCUGCUUUUGUGGGGUGCUCGAGUGGCGAACGGGUGAGUAACACGUGAGUAACCUGCCCUUGACUGUGGGAUAACUUCAGGAGACUGGGGCUAAUACCGGAUAGGAGCUCCUGCUGCAUGGUGGGGGUUGGAAAGUUUCGGCGGUUGGGGAUGGACUCGCGGCUUAUCAGCUUGUUGGUUGGGUAGUGGCUUACCAAGGCUUUGACGGGUAGCCGGCCUGGGAGGGUGACCGGCCACAUUGGGCCUGAGAUACGGCCCAGACUCCUACGUGAGGCAGCAGUGGGGAAUAUUGCACAAUGGGCGGAAGCCUGAUGCAGAGACGCCGCGUGCGGGAUGACGGCCUUCGGGUUGUAAACCGCUUUAGCCUGUGACGAAGCGUGAGUGACGGUACUGGGUAAAGAAGCACCGGCUAACUACGUG